Molecule: ribosomal RNA, 381 nt
Filed under: uncultured eukaryote
Lineage: Eukaryota
Description: partial 18S ribosomal RNA
Rfam family: Eukaryotic small subunit ribosomal RNA
Source: RNAcentral
CAAUAGCGUAUAUUAAAGUUGUUGCAGUUAAAAAGCUCGUAGUUGGAUUUCUGGUUGAAGCGACCGGUCGGGCGUUGAUUCGUCUGCACUGGAGUCGGUUUUGGCCAUCCUCUAGGAAAGUGCGUCUGGUAUUAAGUUAUCGGGCGUAUGAUCCUGGUCUUUUACUGUGAAAAAAUUAGAGUGUUUAAAGCAGGCCUUCGCCUUGAAUACAUUAGCAUGGAAUAAUAAGAUAGGACUUUGGUCUAUUUUGUUGGUUUGCAGACCGAAGUAAUGAUUAAUGGGGAUAGUUGGGGGUAUUUAUAUUCCGAUGUCAGAGGUGAAAUUCUUAGAUUUUCGGAAGAUAAACUUAUGCGAAAGCAUUUACCAAGGAUGUUUNCAUUA